GGUGGUAAUUAUGCACCCACGCCAGGAUGCACAAUGAAAGCUUGGGGACGUUCUUGGAUU
This 60-nucleotide unclassified non-coding RNA is filed under the name synthetic construct. The record is from RNAcentral.